GACGAACGCUGGCGGCGCGCCUAACACAUGCAAGUCGAACGAGCGAGAGAGAGCUUGCUUUCUCGAGCGAGUGGCGAACGGGUGAGUAACGCGUGAGGAACCUGCCUCAAAGAGGGGGACAACAGUUGGAAACGACUGCUAAUACCGCAUAAGCCCACAGGUCGGCAUCGACCAGAGGGAAAAGGAGCAAUCCGCUUUGAGAUGGCCUCGCGUCCGAUUAGCUAGUUGGUGGGGUAACGGCCUACCAAGGCGACGAUCAGUAGCCGGACUGAGAGGUUGAACGGCCACAUUGGGACUGAGAUACGGCCCAG
This 311-nucleotide ribosomal RNA is filed under the name uncultured bacterium. RNAcentral describes it as "bacterial SSU rRNA". It matches the Rfam family "Bacterial small subunit ribosomal RNA", at positions 28 to 334 of the family's 1533-position model. The record is from RNAcentral.